Molecule: transfer RNA, 72 nt
Filed under: Camelus bactrianus (Bactrian camel)
Lineage: Eukaryota; Metazoa; Chordata; Mammalia; Artiodactyla; Camelidae
Also listed under: 2 other names
Rfam family: tRNA
About the family: Transfer RNA (tRNA) molecules are approximately 80 nucleotides in length.
Source: Rfam by way of RNAcentral
GUGGGAAUAGCUCAGUGGUAGAGUGCAUGGUUAAUAUGCACCAGGCCCUGGAUUCAAUUCCCAGUACCUCCA